This 213-nucleotide long non-coding RNA is filed under the name Lathyrus oleraceus (garden pea). RNAcentral describes it as "Pisum sativum (pea) long non-coding RNA (PSAT_LNC004553)". Lineage: Eukaryota; Viridiplantae; Streptophyta; Magnoliopsida; Fabales; Fabaceae. The record is from RNAcentral.
UUAUUUUUUCACCAGAAAAAUCACACUUUAAAAUUAAUAUUUUUUAAAAUAUAACUGAAAAACUAAUAAUAUAUAUAAUUCAGUAUUUUAUAAAAGUCUUAUAUUUAAAAAGAAAUAACUUUUUUGAAAAUAUUUUAUAAGUAAAGACAUAGAAAGUUUUUUUGUUGAAUUUUUAAAAUUAAUAUGGUUUGCGUUUGAUUAUGCUGUAUAAAC